GCGUUGUGGCUCAGGGGUAGAGUACUCGCCUCACAUGUGCGGGACCCUGGGUUCAAUCCUCAGAACCACACA
Molecule: transfer RNA, 72 nt
Filed under: Marmota monax (woodchuck)
Lineage: Eukaryota; Metazoa; Chordata; Mammalia; Rodentia; Sciuridae
Description: tRNA.Val
Source: RNAcentral